This 410-nucleotide RNase P RNA is filed under the name Ignavibacteriota bacterium. Its description in RNAcentral is "Ignavibacteriae bacterium RNase P RNA component class A". It matches the Rfam family "Bacterial RNase P class A". From Rfam's summary of the family: Ribonuclease P (RNase P) is a ubiquitous endoribonuclease, found in archaea, bacteria and eukarya as well as chloroplasts and mitochondria. The record is from RNAcentral. Lineage: Bacteria; Pseudomonadati; Ignavibacteriota.
GGGGGACGACGGGCAGCCGCGUUGACGUGCUUCGGCACGACGAUGAGGAAAGUCCGAACUCCGCAGGACAACACGCUUCCUAACGGGAAGGCGGCAACGUUGGCAACAACGAAGCCGACGGAAAGUGCAACAGAAAGUACACAACCCGAAGUUCGCUUCGGGAAAUGGUGAAACGGUGGGGUAAGAGCCCACCAGCGGCCGGGCGACCGGCCGGCUCGGCAAACCCCGUGUGGAGCAAGGUCAAGCAGGUUGGAGGACGCUUCGGCGUCGGCGUGUGGUCCGCACGCUUCCUUCGGGUCUCCCUCCGGGUGGAUCGCACGAGGCCGGCGGCAACGUCGGUCCCAGAUAAAUGGUUGCCUCCUUUGCUUCGGCAAAGAAGACAGAAUUCGGCUUAUAGGAGUCUUCCCGUG